CUUCGGGGUGUGACUGCGUACCUUUUGUAUAAUGGGUCAGCGACUUAUAUUCUGUAGCAAGGUUAACCGUAUAGGGGAGCCGGAGGGAAACCGAGUCUUAAUUGGGCGUUAAGUUGCAGGGUAUAGACCCGAAACCCGGUGAUCUAGCCAUGGGCAGGUUGAAGGUUGGGUAACACUAACUGGAGGACCGAACCGACUAAUGUUGAAAAAUUAGCGGAUGACCUGUGGCUGGGGGUGAAAGGCCAAUCAAACCGGGAGAUAGCUGGUUCUCCCCGAAAGCUAUUUAGGUAGCGCCUCGUGAAUUCAUCUCCGGGGGUAGAGCACUGUUUCGGCUAGGGGGCCAUCCCGGCUUACCAACCCGAUGCAAACUGCGAAUACCGGAGAAUGUUAUCACGGGAGACACACGGCGGGUGCUAACGUCCGUCGUGAAGAGGGAAACAACCCAGACCGCCAGCUAAGGUCCCAAAGUCAUGGUUAAGUGGGAAACGAUGUGGGAAGGCCCAGACAGCCAGGAUGUUGGCUUAGAAGCAGCCAUCAUUUAAAGAAAGCGUAAUAGCUCACUGGUCGAGUCGGCCUGCGCGGAAGAUGUAACGGGGCUAAACCAUGCACCGAAGCUGCGGCAGCGAACGUAUCACCCAAGACAACUUUACGGAGUUGACGAUUGACGGAGCGAAGCGACGUCAAAGCGUUCAUUAAAGUCGAGUUGGCUUAGGGAUACGUUCGUUGGGUAGGGGAGCGUUCUGUAAGCCUGUGAAGGUGUGUCGUGAGGCAUGCUGGAGGUAUCAGAAGUGCGAAUGCUGACAUAAGUAACGAUAAAGCGGGUGAAAAGCCCGCUCGCCGGAAGACCAAGGGUUCCUGUCCAACGUUAAUCGGGGCAGGGUGAGUCGACCCCUAAGGCGAGGCCGAAAGGCGUAGUCGAUGGGAAACGGGUUAAUAUUCCCGUACUUGGUGUUACUGCGAAGGGGGGACGGAGAAGGC
This 978-nucleotide ribosomal RNA is filed under the name Salmonella enterica subsp. enterica serovar Typhimurium. Its description in RNAcentral is "partial 23S ribosomal RNA". It matches the Rfam family "Bacterial large subunit ribosomal RNA", at positions 583 to 1482 of the family's 2925-position model. The record is from RNAcentral. Lineage: Bacteria; Pseudomonadati; Pseudomonadota; Gammaproteobacteria; Enterobacterales; Enterobacteriaceae.